GGGCCGAUAGUUUAGUCUGGUAGAAUACCUGCCUUGCAUGUAGUUGACCUAGUCAUUUACAGGGGAAACGUAGGUGGCCGUGGGUUCAAAUCCCACUCGGUCCA
RNAcentral lists this transfer RNA (104 nucleotides) under bacterium. Its description in RNAcentral is "tRNA-OTHER". It matches the Rfam family "tRNA". From Rfam's summary of the family: Transfer RNA (tRNA) molecules are approximately 80 nucleotides in length. Their secondary structure includes four short double-helical elements and three loops (D, anti-codon, and T loops). The record is from RNAcentral.